UAUAGGACCCAAAGAGUGGCUCAUUUUCCUCCGAAGCUACGCCUAGUGAGCUUCGUUCUGAGGGACUCGCCGGAAAAUUUAUCAGUUUCCUUCGAGCUUAAUCUGAAAAUUUAUCGGAAUUUGCCGAAAAAAUUUAAGUUAAAGAGUGAGUUGGAAGCAAGAAAGGCAAAGACUUUCUGCAGAUCCGAUUGAAUUACGCCAAAAAGGGAGAAAAAGGCAAAAAAAAUUCGAGCUUUAUAAAAACGAAGCUGAAACUCUGAUUCCUUUUCUUCAAUUUUAUCAAUUUCACAUUUUUCCUUCACUUUCUGAUCCGAAAGCCGCGAGAAAUGGUAGUGAAAGUAGCUUCGACCUGUUUGCAAUGGUCGCAGCCGAUCGUUCCACACUCUACCCCUUCCUCUCAAACUCUAGCCUCCGCAAUCGCAUCUCCUUCCUCAAAACGACGUACCCGUGGCGGCGACGGCGGAGCUGUUCUCUGCCUCUACGUCCACAGCUUGAACCGGUCGGCUCUGUUUGGAGCUCCAUCGACGAAGCUAAACCGAUCCAGGUCAUGCGAGUUACGGAAGCCGAGAUUUCGGUCCAUGAAAAGAGCUUGCAGUGCGAACUUGGACGCCUUCUCCGACGAAGAGUUCUCGAAGAAGAUUCAAGAGCUCGCUCUCAGAUUCCAGCUCUCGGACGAUUUUGACGGUGAAGAUAACGGCAACGGCGACGGUAACACUUCGAAUUCGGAAACAGAGAAAGCUGAUUCUGAUAGUCGCCGCGUCAAUGACUCUUCUUCAACAAUGAGAUUUGAACAGAACCAGAGCCUGUUCGAGUUGCCGCUCGAUCUGGAGCUACCGUGGUCGUCCGAUUGGCAGCAGCGGGACGAGAUUGUUCCGGAGGCGAGCAUCGAGCGGAAGGCUUCCGCUCUCUCUCCGGAUGAUCAAGAGAAAGCUGCAGUGGCAGGAAGGGUUCAGAGAAGCUGGGGAAUCCGCGUGUUCCUCUGUGAAAAAGGCCUUCUCUUCCAUGGUGUUCAUAAUCCGAGAGCUUCAUACGUACACCUUACAGAUGAGAGCGGUUCUGUUCUACGAAGAUUUACAGGGGAUUUUGGGUCGUGUUCAGAAGGAGAUGCACGCUUCGUUCGUUUGGCUUUUUCAACAGGUCUUUUCUCAAACGCCGACGCUAAUGGUGUACGUGAUGAUACUCCUGGCCAAUUUCACCGUCUACUCAUUAGGCCAUAACGCCGCCAUUGCGGCUGCUCCGCCACCUGGGAUAUAUUCCAGUGCAACUGAGACUACUAUAUCAGUGGAGGAGGUUCAGAAUCACAACGAUAAAUUGGAUAAUACCCAAUUUGAUUCCUCGACAAGUAAGUCGUUUUCUGUGAAUGGGAACGUGAAUGGGAAAACGACAUCCAUAGGCGGAAACAAUGGCGGUGGUGGGAAAGCCCGACCCGUGGGCAGCGGCACGGAAGGAGACGGCCGGUUCGACGGGUCGGACCAGUACCGGACAAUUGUCCCCGACGGAGCUUCGCAGUUGUCCUCACUUGGGACGACGACAGAGGCAGAGUCGGUGUCCGGGCAAGAGAGCAAAGAGGAGGAGUUGGCUGUGUGGAAUUCAAUAGUGGAAGAAGCUCAUGAAAUGCGAGGCUACCAUGAAGCUGUGAACCAUGAAACGAUGCAGAGAUUUGUUUCGCCGGUGGUGGUGAAUAUGGAGGGUGAUGAUUACGAGGAGUACUUCAGAACAGAGCUUCUCUACCAAACGGGACUAUCCAUAGAGCCCAGCAAUGCUCUGCUUCUUGCCAAUUACGCUCAGUUCCUCUACCAAGUUGCUCAUGAUUAUGACAGAGCUGAAGAGUACUUCAAGAAGGCAGUAGGGCUGGAGCCACCGGACGCGGAGGCCUACAACAAAUACGCGACGUUUCUGUGGAGGGUUCGAAACGACUUGUGGGCUGCAGAAGAAACCUUCUUGGAAGCCAUUUCAGCUGACCCAAGCAACUCAUACUACGCUGCCAACUAUGCCCAUUUUCUUUGGGACACCGGCGCUGAGGACACCUGUUUCCCUCUCAACUCUCCUGAUGAUGACACCCAAGAUGCUUAGUAAAUUACAUUUUUUUUAUAAAAAAAAACACAUACAGAAGAGAAGAGAAGAGAAAAGAGCCGUCACCUUCCGUUUAUUUUCCCAAUUUUACUCGGAAUUUGGUAUUAGAAAAUCCAAAAAAUAAAUAAAGAGAAAAAGGAAGAGACUAGCAAGAGGUCUUUUUUUUUUUUUAAUAUUUAUUUGUUCCUGAAGUUUUGGUGGGCGGUGGUGGUGGUGGCGUUUGGAGCGGAGGGAAGCACGUGACCUGGGACAUGCUCACAUGCACGGCAAAACUGGCAGCAGAAUUUGCAGUGUGUUUGGCGUUGCGCGUUGUUUCCGAUCUGUAUGUGCGCGGGGAGUGGAGCCAAUCGGAAUACAUGGCUGUUUUUGCACAGAUUAUGUCGCUUUUUUUUUUGUUAAUUCCUUUUCUUUCUUUUUUUGGGUCGAGACAAACAAUCACAUGGCAAAGUGUAAUUAGCCUCCUUGUUAAUAUUAUGCCAUUUUCAAUUUUACUACAAA
This is a non-coding RNA of Prunus avium (sweet cherry), 2571 nucleotides long. NCBI's taxonomy places the organism in Eukaryota, Viridiplantae, Streptophyta, Magnoliopsida, Rosales, Rosaceae. The record is from RefSeq and is a predicted model, not a curated record.